Molecule: small nucleolar RNA, 106 nt
Organism: Elaeis guineensis (African oil palm)
Lineage: Eukaryota; Viridiplantae; Streptophyta; Magnoliopsida; Arecales; Arecaceae
Source: RefSeq, a predicted model, not a curated record
CAGCAUGGUAGGAAUAUUUUUUAAUAAGGUUCUUUAACCUCUCCUAUGUUUCAUGGAACAUUUCUCCAUCUAAUUGAGAAAAACUAGUUAUGACUUUUCUUAUUUG